Molecule: microRNA precursor, 126 nt
Filed under: Myotis brandtii (Brandt's bat)
Lineage: Eukaryota; Metazoa; Chordata; Mammalia; Chiroptera; Vespertilionidae
Description: mir-9193 microRNA precursor family
Rfam family: mir-9193 microRNA precursor family
Source: Rfam by way of RNAcentral
CGUGCACCAGUGGGGUCCCUCGGCCUGGUCUGUGCCCUCUCACAAUCUGGGACCCCUCGGGGGAUGUCAGAGAGCUGGUUUCAGCCUGGUACCACAGGCCAGGCCGAGGGACCCCACUGGUGCACG